RNAcentral lists this ribosomal RNA (253 nucleotides) under uncultured bacterium. RNAcentral describes it as "partial 16S ribosomal RNA". It matches the Rfam family "Bacterial small subunit ribosomal RNA", at positions 524 to 776 of the family's 1533-position model. The record is from RNAcentral.
UACGUAGGGUGCGAGCGUUGUCCGGAAUUAUUGGGCGUAAAGAGCUUGUAGGCGGUUUGUCGCGUCUGCUGUGAAAAUCCGGGGCUCAACCCCGGACUUGCGGUGGGUACGGGCAGACUAGAGUGUGGUAGGGGAGACUGGAAUUCCUGGUGUAGCGGUGAAAUGCGCAGAUAUCAGGAGGAACACCGAUGGCGAAGGCAGGUCUCUGGGCCACUACUGACGCUGAGAAGCGAAAGCGUGGGGAGCGAACAGG